RNAcentral lists this ribosomal RNA (1257 nucleotides) under Enterobacter kobei. RNAcentral's name for it is "bacterial SSU rRNA". It matches the Rfam family "Bacterial small subunit ribosomal RNA", at positions 39 to 1294 of the family's 1533-position model. The record is from RNAcentral. Lineage: Bacteria; Pseudomonadati; Pseudomonadota; Gammaproteobacteria; Enterobacterales; Enterobacteriaceae.
GCAGUUGCUUCUGCUACAAUGCAGUCGAGCGGCAGCGGAAGUAGCUUGCUACUUUGCCGGCGAGCGGCGGACGGGUGAGUAAUGUCUGGGAAACUGCCUGAUGGAGGGGGAUAACUACUGGAAACGGUAGCUAAUACCGCAUAACGUCGCAAGACCAAAGAGGGGGACCUUCGGGCCUCUUGCCAUCAGAUGUGCCCAGAUGGGAUUAGCUAGUAGGUGGGGUAACGGCUCACCUAGGCGACGAUCCCUAGCUGGUCUGAGAGGAUGACCAGCCACACUGGAACUGAGACACGGUCCAGACUCCUACGGGAGGCAGCAGUGGGGAAUAUUGCACAAUGGGCGCAAGCCUGAUGCAGCCAUGCCGCGUGUAUGAAGAAGGCCUUCGGGUUGUAAAGUACUUUCAGCGGGGAGGAAGGCGUUGAGGUUAAUAACCUCAGCGAUUGACGUUACCCGCAGAAGAAGCACCGGCUAACUCCGUGCCAGCAGCCGCGGUAAUACGGAGGGUGCAAGCGUUAAUCGGAAUUACUGGGCGUAAAGCGCACGCAGGCGGUCUGUCAAGUCGGAUGUGAAAUCCCCGGGCUCAACCUGGGAACUGCAUUCGAAACUGGCAGGCUAGAGUCUUGUAGAGGGGGGUAGAAUUCCAGGUGUAGCGGUGAAAUGCGUAGAGAUCUGGAGGAAUACCGGUGGCGAAGGCGGCCCCCUGGACAAAGACUGACGCUCAGGUGCGAAAGCGUGGGGAGCAAACAGGAUUAGAUACCCUGGUAGUCCACGCCGUAAACGAUGUCGACUUGGAGGUUGUGCCCUUGAGGCGUGGCUUCCGGAGCUAACGCGUUAAGUCGACCGCCUGGGGAGUACGGCCGCAAGGUUAAAACUCAAAUGAAUUGACGGGGGCCCGCACAAGCGGUGGAGCAUGUGGUUUAAUUCGAUGCAACGCGAAGAACCUUACCUACUCUUGACAUCCAGAGAACUUAGCAGAGAUGCUUUGGUGCCUUCGGGACUCUGAGACAGGUGCCUGCAUGGCUGUCGUCAGCUCGUGUUGUGAAAUGGUUUGGGUUAAGUCCCGCACGAGCGCACCCUUAUCCUUUGUUGCCAGCGGUCGGCGGGACUCAAAGAGACUGCCAGUGAUUAACCUGAGAAAAAAGUUGCAUGACGUCAGUCAUCAUGUCGUACGAGUAGGGCUACCACCUGCUACAUGCGCAUACAAGAAUCGACUCGCGGAGAGCCAGCGGACCUUCUAUAUAGGGUGCGCGCCUCUGC